This 494-nucleotide long non-coding RNA is filed under the name Helianthus annuus (common sunflower). The record is from RNAcentral. Lineage: Eukaryota; Viridiplantae; Streptophyta; Magnoliopsida; Asterales; Asteraceae.
UUGAUUUUUGAUUCCAAUUGUAUGCAUCAUAUCUGUUGUACUGAUUCGUUAAAGAAUCAUAAACAAGGAUCACUAGUGUCUAUCUUAAUUGCAAAUUUGACUUUUUGCAAAGCCAUAUUGGAAUCACAAACAUAAAAAAAAGGGUUGUCAUCUCAAAUUUUUUAAGUAAAAUUCAAACAAUCAAGUUUUUGUAUGUUGAAAAGGGGGAUCAUUAGCAUGUUUUUUAAACAAGAAAUCGAACCCGUAUCGGUUCUAGCAAGUCAAACCGAUUCCUGGUUCAAAUAGCAAGUUCCGGAUCGUUUAGUUCAAAAUAGCAAGUAGCACGUUGAAUCAUCACGAUUCAGUCUAGCAAGAAAACGACCAUUCUUGGUCAAAGCAAGAAAAAGCAAGUACAGCGGGUCGAUUAAAUUAAGUCCAAUUAGCAAGUUGGUUGGAUAUUUUUUUAUCACUCGCAACAGCAAGUUAGCAAGAAUCUGAUCAGCAAGUCGGUCAGA